RNAcentral lists this ribosomal RNA (497 nucleotides) under uncultured bacterium. Its description in RNAcentral is "partial 16S ribosomal RNA". It matches the Rfam family "Bacterial small subunit ribosomal RNA", at positions 28 to 507 of the family's 1533-position model. The record is from RNAcentral.
GAUGAACGCUGGCGGCGUGCCUAAUACAUGCAAGUCGAGCGAACGGACUAGAAGCUUGCUUCUCUGAUGUUAGCGGCGGACGGGUGAGUAACACGUGGAUACCCUCCCUAUCAGACUGGGAUCACUUCGGGAAUCCGUAGCUAAUCCCAGAUAAUCUUUUGAACCGCAUUGUUCAAAAGUGAGAGUCGGUCUUUCUGUCUCUUAUCGCUGCUUCCGCGCUUCAUUAGCUAGUUGGUAAGGUAACGGCUUACCAAGGCAACGAUGCAUAGCCGACGUGAGGGGGUGAUCGGCCACACGGGAACUGAGACGCGGUCCAGACUCCUACGGGAGGGAGCAGAAGGCAAUCGGCCGCAGUGGGCGAAAGCCUUACGGAGCAGCGCCGCGUGAGUGAUGAAGGUCUUGGGAUCGUAAAACUCUGUUAUUAGUGAAGAACAUAUGUGGAAGGAACUGUGCAGAUCUUGACGGUACUGAAUCAGAAAGCCACGGCUAACUACGUG